RNAcentral lists this small RNA (76 nucleotides) under Citrobacter sp. Cc227. RNAcentral describes it as "partial RtT sRNA". It matches the Rfam family "RtT RNA", at positions 55 to 130 of the family's 130-position model. From Rfam's summary of the family: This family represents a bacterial cis-regulatory element known as RtT RNA. The exact function of RtT is unknown although it is thought that it may be involved in changing the cellular response in relation to amino acid starvation. The record is from RNAcentral. Lineage: Bacteria; Pseudomonadati; Pseudomonadota; Gammaproteobacteria; Enterobacterales; Enterobacteriaceae.
UAGCGAGAGAACGUUGCGUCAGCAACGGCCCGCAGGGCGAGCCACGCAGUGGCGAGUAAUCCUCUAUCACCGACCA